UCUCUUUCUUCAGAUGAUGAUCCCAAGCCUUCUGGCGAUCUAGACAAAACAAGUCCACCGUGGGCUUUGAAAAACGCUUUCCUUGAUAAAAUUUAAGCGCUUUAUAAGAGGAUGCCGGGGAAGGUUUUCCGGUUUAUCCCGGAGGGCUUGUAGCUCAGUUGGUU
Molecule: unclassified non-coding RNA, 164 nt
Filed under: Bartonella henselae
Lineage: Bacteria; Pseudomonadati; Pseudomonadota; Alphaproteobacteria; Hyphomicrobiales; Bartonellaceae
Description: partial 16S-23S ribosomal RNA intergenic spacer
Source: RNAcentral